AGGGAAUCUUCCGCAAUGGGCGAAAGCCUGACGGAGCAACGCCGCGUGAGUGAUGAAGGUCUUCGGAUCGUAAAACUCUGUUAUUAGGGAAGAACAUAUGUGUAAGUAACUGUGCACAUCUUGACGGUACCUAAUCAGAAAGCCACGGCUAACUACGUGCCAGCAGCCGCGGUAAUACGUAGGUGGCAAGCGUUAUCCGGAAUUAUUGGGCGUAAAGCGCGCGUAGGCGGUUUUUUAAGUCUGAUGUGAAAGCCCACGGCUCAACCGUGGAGGGUCAUUGGAAACUGGAAAACUUGAGUGCAGAAGAGGAAAGUGGAAUUCCAUGUGUAGCGGUGAAAUGCGCAGAGAUAUGGAGGAACACCAGUGGCGAAGGCGACUUUCUGGUCUGUAACUGACGAUGAUGUGCGAAAGCGUGGGGAUCAAACAGGAUUAGAUACCCUGGUAGUCCACGCCGUAAACGAUGAGUGCUAAGUGUUAGGGGGUUUCCGCCCCUUAGUGCUGCAGCUAACGCAUUAAGCACUCCGCCUGGGGAGUACGACCGCAAGGUUG
This 549-nucleotide ribosomal RNA is filed under the name uncultured bacterium. Its description in RNAcentral is "bacterial SSU rRNA". It matches the Rfam family "Bacterial small subunit ribosomal RNA", at positions 356 to 896 of the family's 1533-position model. The record is from RNAcentral.